RNAcentral lists this ribosomal RNA (440 nucleotides) under uncultured bacterium. RNAcentral describes it as "partial 16S ribosomal RNA". It matches the Rfam family "Bacterial small subunit ribosomal RNA", at positions 338 to 795 of the family's 1533-position model. The record is from RNAcentral.
CCUACGGGAGGCCGCAGUGGGGAAUAUUGGACAAUGGGGGAAACCCUGAUCCAGCGACGCCGCGUGAGUGAAGCAGUAUUUCGGUACGUAAAGCUCUAUCAGCAGGAAAGAAAAUGACGGUACCUGACUAAGACGCCCCGGCUCACUACGUGCCAGCAGCCGCGGUCAUACGUAGGGGGAAAGCGUUAUCCGGAUUUACUGGGGGUGAAGGGAUCGUAGACGGCAGCGCAAGUAUGGAGUGAAAUGCCGGGGCCCAACCCCGGAACUGCUCUGGAAACUGGGAAGCUGGAGUGCCGGAGAGGUAAGCGGAAUUCCUGGUGUGGCGGUGAAAUGCGUAGAUAUCAGGAGGAACACCGGCGGCGAAGGCGGCUUACUGGACUGUAACUGACGUUGAGGCUCGAAGGCGUGGGGAGCAAACAGGAUUAGAUACCCGAGUAGUC